RNAcentral lists this ribosomal RNA (1196 nucleotides) under metagenome. RNAcentral describes it as "SSU rRNA". It matches the Rfam family "Eukaryotic small subunit ribosomal RNA", at positions 603 to 1823 of the family's 1831-position model. The record is from RNAcentral.
AUUAAAGUUGUUGCGGUUAAAAAGCUCGUAGUUGGAUCUCGGUUUCACUCAGGUGGUACACCUUGCGGUGUUCACUAUCUGGGUGGACGUUUCUGUUGGUUCGCUCUUGGUGCUCUUCAUCGGGUGCCAUUUGGUGGCCAGCACGUUUACUUUGAAAAAAUUGGAGUGCUCAAAGCAGGCGUUACAGCCUGAACAUUAGUGCAUGGAAUAAUGGAAUAGGAUCUCGAUUCUAUUUCGUUGGCUUUCGGAGUCGAGGUAAUGAUUAAUAGGGACAGACGGGGGCAUUCGUACUGCGACGCUAGAGGUGAAAUUCUUGGAUCGUCGCAAGACGAACUACUGCGAAAGCAUUUGCCAAGAAUGUUUUCAUUAAUCAAGAACGAAAGUUAGAGGUUCGAAGGCGAUCAGAUACCGCCCUAGUUCUAACCAUAAACGAUGCCAACCGGCGAUCCGUCGUCGUUAAUUGAAUGACUCGACGGGCAGCCUCCGGGAAACCAGAGUGUUUGGGUUCCGGGGGAAGUAUGGUUGCAAAGCUGAAACUUAAAGGAAUUGACGGAAGGGCACCACCAGGAGUGGAGCCUGCGGCUUAAUUUGACCCAACACGGGAAAUCUCACCAGGCCCGGACACCGGAAGGAUUGACAGAUUGAGAGCUCUUCUUGAUUCGGUGGGUGGUGGUGCAUGGCCGUUCUUAGUUGGUGGAGCGAUUUGUCUGGUUAAUUCCGAUAACGAACGAGACUCUGGCCUACUAACUAGAAGGUCUAUCCUUUAUGGGUAGGCCUCUGCUUCUUAGAGGGACGGGCGGCGUUUAGCCGCACGAGAAUGAGCAAUAACAGGUCUGUGAUGCCCUUAGAUGUUCUGGGCUGCACGCGCGCUACACUGAAGGAAUCAGCAUGUUCUCCCCUCCCUGAAAAGGGCGGGUAACCCGUUGAAACUCCUUCGUGAUGGGGAUUGGAGAUUGUAAUUAUUCUCCAUGAACGAGGAAUUCCCAGUAGGCGCGAGUCAUCAGCUUGCGUCGAUUACGUCCCUGCCCUUUGUACACACCGCCCGUCGCUACUACCGAUCGAGUGAUUUAGUGAGGACUUCGGACUGGUCUUCAUGUUGGCUUCGGUCGGCUCGAAGUUCCGGAAAGAUGCCCAAACUUGAUCACUUAGAGGAAGUAAAAGUCGUAACAAGGUUUCCGUAGGUGAACCUGCGGAAG